RNAcentral lists this non-coding RNA (956 nucleotides) under Liobagrus obesus. RNAcentral's name for it is "12S ribosomal RNA". It matches the Rfam family "Bacterial small subunit ribosomal RNA". Lineage: Eukaryota; Metazoa; Chordata; Actinopteri; Siluriformes; Amblycipitidae. The record is from RNAcentral.
CAAAGGCUUGAUCCUGACUUUACUAUCAGCUUUAACCCAAUUUAUACAUGCAAGUUUCCGCACCCCUGUGAGAAUGCCCUCAAUCCCCCGUCCGGGGACGAGGAGCAGGCAUCAGGCACAGCCCCCCCAAGCUAGCCCAAGACGCCUUGCUACGCCACACCCCCAAGGGAUUUCAGCAGUAAUAAACAUUAAGCCAUUAGUGAAAACUUGACUUAGUUAGAGUUUAAGAGGGUCGGUAAAAUUCGUGCCAGCCACCGCGGUUAUACGAAAGACCCCAGUUGAUAGAUUCGGCGUAAAGGGUGGUUAAGGAAAUAGAAGAAUAAAGCUAAAGAUUUCCCAAACUGUCAUACGCCCCCGGAAACACGAAACCCAAAUACGAAAGUAGCUUUAAAUUAAUGUACCUGACCCCACGAAAGCUAAGAAACAAACUGGGAUUAGAUACCCCACUAUGCUUAGCGCUAAACCCAGAUAGUAAACUACAAAUAUAUCCGCCGGGGUACUACGAGCACAGCUUAAAACCCAAAGGACUUGGCGGUGUCUCAAACCCACCUAGAGGAGCCUGUUCUAGAACCGAUAACCCCCGUUAAACCUCACCACUUCUAGCCCUGCCCGCCUAUAUACCGCCGUCGUCAGCUUACCCUGUGAAGGCCCAACAGUAAGCAAAACGGGUUCACCCAAAAACGUCAGGUCGAGGUGUAGCGUACGAAGUGGAUAGAAAUGGGCUACAUUUUCUAUAAAUAGAAUAUACGAAUGGCGCCCUGAAACGGGCGCUUAAAGGUGGAUUUAGCAGUAAAAAGCAAAUAGAGAGUCCUUUUGAAUUAGGCUCUGAGACGCGCACACACCGCCCGUCACUCUCCCCUAAACUACCAAUUAAAUAAUAUAUAAUAACAAAAUCACCCGCACGGGGAGGCAAGUCGUAACAUGGUAAGUGUACCGGAAGGUGCACUUGGAAUAAU